Molecule: long non-coding RNA, 953 nt
Organism: Acanthopagrus latus (yellowfin seabream)
Lineage: Eukaryota; Metazoa; Chordata; Actinopteri; Spariformes; Sparidae
Exons: 3
Source: RefSeq, a predicted model, not a curated record
CUUCCCUCCAGAGCUGCUGCUGCUGGUGCUGCCCGAGUUGCCACCAGAGUUGUUGGCUUUGGCGUUGGCUGCACGCUCCUGCUUACGAAACUUGGCACGCCUGUUCUGAAACCACACCUGUUCAACAGAGACAGAGACCCUCUGAUAAUAAAGCAGCAGCUCCCGUCCUACCUGAGGAGUAAGGUGUGGGCUGGUGCUCCCGCAGGGCUCCCAGGGUGCAGCUGGCCGUGCUGAGCGGAGUGCAGCCCGGGUUGGAGAAGGGUCCGCUCCGGAUCGGGUUGUACUGGAACGAGCUGGCCUGGCUGCAGGAGCUGAAGUCCGCGUAGGCCGACGCUUCCAUGGCCGCCAUGCAGGAGUCAUAGGAGUUCAGGGGGACCGUCACGUGACUGCCUUGCGGUAACCGGACGGCAUCCGGUUCAACGAAAGCCUCCAUGGGUUCACAAGAGGACCGAGAGUCUCAUCUGAGCAGACGUGUAAAACUUGCUGCUGCUGCUGCUGCUGCUGCUGCUGCAUGAAUGAGGAGCGUCUCAAAAACUGAGCGCACAGAGAGGACUGAGGUAAUGGAGGUGAAAUCGAUCGCUUUCCAUGGGGAGCACAAUGAGAGAGGGAGGAGGGAGGGAGGGAGGGAUGAGAGGAGCGCAGAGGGACACGGAUGAAAAUCCCCCGUUAAGAGCAGGGACAGAUAUGAUAAUGGGCGAGCCUCGAGUAGUCGUUCAUCAUUCACCACCUCCACCUGGCUGCUGCUGCACCUCUCUGAGUGCUGCUGCUGCUGCUGCUGCUGCUGCUGCUGGAGGAAGUAAAUGAAGAAAAAUAAUCUUCAUGUAGAAAUACUCUGUUACAAGUACAAAAGUAUAAGCAUCAAAAUAUGACAAAAUCUAACAAGUUAAAGCUCUCAUUACACGGCUCAUUUACAGCAUAGUUCAGAAUGUUGUAGCCUGGAUUACAUUAUUACA